Long non-coding RNA from Musa acuminata AAA Group (dessert banana), 1855 nucleotides. RefSeq lists it as uncharacterized. The record is from RefSeq and is a predicted model, not a curated record. Lineage: Eukaryota; Viridiplantae; Streptophyta; Magnoliopsida; Zingiberales; Musaceae. The transcript is spliced from 2 exons.
AUCUAAAUAAAGCUAGAUUAGAUUUGUGAUUUCGUCAAAUUUGGUUCUUUUGCUUUCUUUUUCUUCUGAUUACGACGAGCUGCUUGGGUUUUAAGGUCCGCAUGCUUGGGGCAUAGAAGGGUUCCCCCUUGAGAUCGUUGUGGAAUGGUUAAGAUCUGAGAUUUUCGCGGUAAAGAUGUUCUUGGAUGAUGCUACUGGUGUGCACAUAUUAGCUGAUGGCCACGAGAACUGAUUAUUUGAUUCUUUGAGGGUGUUCGGGUGUUCAUUCACGAGUGAUGUUAUUGCAGAUGCUACAUUUAGGAUAGAGAUAAGUAGAGCCUAUUCAUGCUCCAUUCUUUUUUUGAAGUAGCUGUACAUAAACUUAUCCUAGACAUCAAGUAUUCUGAAAUAAAUGUGUCAUACUCCUUAACGUCAUCUGUUCUUGAUAUCAUGCUCAUCCUAAACGUCUCUCUUGUGCUAGGUCUUAUUGGCUGCUGGGUUCAAUUGCUGAUGGUUUAGAUCGUCUAAUGCAUUUAUAUCCAAUAUGCAGUAAGAAAGUGUUUAACAGUUGGAAUCUAGACACAUAUUGAAAUUUCGUACCGCACCCGAGUUUCGAGAUUCGCUUGGCACGGUACGAUACUGUAUAUCGAGCGGUAUAUUUGGGUAUAUCUUUCGGUGUAUAUAUAUAUAUAUAUAUAUAUAUAUAUAUAUAUAUAUAUAUAGUAAAAAAAAAUCUUUUUCAGCGACGUUGCCUCUCUUCUCUCGGGCAGGGUGACGUCGCCUCUAUAUAUAUGGGUAUAUAUAUAUAAGUACAAAAAAAAUCUUAUAUAUAUAUAUAUAUAUAUAUCAAGGUUGGCAAUUUCGUACCGUAUUGGAGUUUCGACGUUCGCUCAGGACGGUACAAUAUUGUAUACCGAGCGGUCUACCGAACAGUACAAUAUUAUACAUUGAGCGGUAUACUGAACAGUAUAAUAUUGUAUAUCGAGCAGUAUACCGUUCAGUAUAUAUAUAUAUAUAUAUAUAUAUCGUCCGAUAACGGGCGGUCCGUGUAUCAGCCUGUUGGCGGAUCGGUACGUAUCGCCCGAUACGGGUGGUAUUAUUCGAAAUUGAAGACCUUGAUUGCGACACUACAAAUUGUCAAUGCUACUUACACAAAUUUUUGUGUGCCAUUGCAAUAAUAACAGUGAAGCUCUGACUCAAUAUAUACAUAUGAAUAUAUAUAUUUGACUCAGUAUAUUUUAUCAUCUCAAGAAAAGAGAGAAAAAAAAGAUUGGUUCACGCUUCUUAGGUACUAUUCCUUUUGUUCGUAACCUACAUUGUGUAGGACAGAAGAAUUUCCGGUGCCAUUCCUUUCUCAUAUCUCAGCAUUACAUUGCCUCUUUAUUUUGCUAUUCUGUUUGGAUCAAUCUGCCAUUUUUACCAAAUAAGGUCUUCAGCAAUGUCUUUAAAGCGUCAUGAAGGAGCUGAAGGAUCUUGUCACAGAUCCUUACUGCAGUUGCAGCAUAUGUAUCUAGGCUUCUUUAUGUCUUGUACCCAUUUCCCAAUUAUCUUCUCACAGACCUAUGAGAUUAUGGAUCCUUUUUUAAAUAAACUUUUUGCUUUUGAGGCUUAACUUUUGUGCCAGUCUGUCAUUGAAUCAAAAUGGUGGACAAACAUGAGCUCUCUCCUCUGGUGAAAGGACAGAAUCAAUUGCUGCUGUUAGGUCAUUUCCAGAUUCACAGUUUUCUGCAGACAUAGAUCUUUAUUGUAACCAGAAUUUUCUUGAGAUGAACUUUGUAUUUCAUCUUCCAGUUAAAAGGGGCAUUCCAAGCUUGUAACAGCGAGCCUUUGAUUGUCACUUGUUUUAGCUGGAAAUUUUAUUAUAUUGUUUCUAGUA